UACAGAGGUCUCAAGCGUUGUUCGGAUUCAUUGGGCGUAAAGGGUGCGUAGGCGGCGCGGUAAGUCGGGUGUGAAAUCUUGGAGCUUAACUCCGAAACUGCAUUCGAUACUGCCGUGCUUGAGGACUGGAGAGGAGACUGGAAUUUACGGUGUAGCGGUGAAAUGCGUAGAUAUCAGGAGGAAUACCGGUGGCGAAAGCGACUCUCUGGACGGCAACUGACGCUGAGGCACGAAAGCGUGGGGAGCAAACAGG
This 253-nucleotide ribosomal RNA is filed under the name uncultured bacterium. Its description in RNAcentral is "partial 16S ribosomal RNA". It matches the Rfam family "Bacterial small subunit ribosomal RNA", at positions 524 to 776 of the family's 1533-position model. The record is from RNAcentral.